UAUACAUGCAUGUCGAGCGGAGUUCUUCGGAACUUAGCGGCGAAUGGGUGAGUAACACGUACUUAACGUACCUCUUAGAUUGGGAUAACGCUGAGAAAUUAGCGCUAAUACCGGAUACUUAUAAGGAAGGCAUCUUCCUUAUAUAAAAGGAGCUCUCAAGCUCCACUAGGAGAUCGGGGUGCGGAACAUUAGCUAGUUGGUAAGGUAAUGGCUUACCAAGGCUAUGAUGUUUAACGGGGUUGAGAGACUGAUCCGUCACACUGGGACUGAGAUACGGCCCAGACUCCUACGGGAGGCAGCAGUAGGGAAUUUUCCACAAUGGGCGAAAGCCUGAUGGAGCGACACAGCGUGCAGGAUGAAGGCCUUCGGGUUGUAAACUGCUGUUAUUUAGGAUGAAAAAAUAGUAGAGGAAAUGCUAUUAUCUUGACAGUACUAAAUCAGAAAGCAACGGCUAACUAUGUGCCAGCAGCCGCGGUAAUACAUAGGUUGCAAGCGUUAUCCGGAAUUAUUGGGCGUAAAGCGUCUGUAGGUUGUUAGUUAAGUCUGGCGUCAAAACUUGGGGCUCAACCCCAAAUCGCGUUGGAUACUGGCUAACUAGAAUUGUGUAGAGGUUAACGGAAUUCCUUGUGAAGCGGUGAAAUGCGUAGAUAUAAGGAAGAACAUCAACUUGGCGAAGGCAGUUAACUGGGCACAUAUUGACACUGAGAGACGAAAGCGUGGGGAGCAAACAGGAUUAGAUACCCUGGUAGUCCACGCCGUAAACGAUGAUGAUUAGCUGAUGGGAACCAUCGGCGCAGCUAACGCAUUAAAUCAUCCGCCUGAGUAGUAUGCUCGCAAGAGUGAAACUUAAAGGAAUUGACGGGGAUCCGCACAAGCGGUGGAGCAUGUGGUUUAAUUUGAAGAUACGCGUAGAACCUUACCCACUCUUGACAUCUUCUGCGAAGCUAUAGAGAUAUAGUGGAGGUUAACAGAAUGACAGAUGGUGCAUGGUUGUCGUCAGCUCGUGUCGUGAGAUGUUCGGUUAAGUCCUGCAACGAGCGCAACCCUUAUCCUUAAUUAAAUUUCUUAAGGAGACUGCCCGGGUAACUGGGAGGAAGGUGGGGACGACGUCAAAUCAUCAUGCCUCUUACGAGUGGGGCAACACACGUGCUACAAUGGAAGGUACAAAGAGAAGCAAUAUGGCGACAUGGAGCAAAUCUCAAAAAACCUUUCUCAGUUCGGAUUGUAGUCUGCAACUCGACUACAUGAAGUCGGAAUCGCUAGUAAUCGUAGAUCAGCUACGCUACGGUGAAUACGUUCUCGGGUCUUGUACACACCGCCCGUCACACCAUGGGAGCUGGUAAUGCCCGAAGUCGGUUUAGUCAACUACGGAGACAACUGCCUAAGGCAGA
RNAcentral lists this ribosomal RNA (1391 nucleotides) under Mycoplasma sp. RNAcentral describes it as "bacterial SSU rRNA". It matches the Rfam family "Bacterial small subunit ribosomal RNA". Lineage: Bacteria; Bacillati; Mycoplasmatota; Mollicutes; Mycoplasmatales; Mycoplasmataceae. The record is from RNAcentral.